This is a non-coding RNA of Pelobates cultripes (western spadefoot toad), 922 nucleotides long. Lineage: Eukaryota; Metazoa; Chordata; Amphibia; Anura; Pelobatidae. The record is from the annotation of a GenBank genome assembly.
CGUGCUGCUCCUGCUGCUGAGAGAGAGGGUCCACACAGCUGCCGGAGAGACAGAGAGAGAGGGGCUCAGGUCACAGGAUCACGGUGCGGGACCUGCUUGUCUCUGACAGGAGAAGAGGUGACGCUAUGCGACAAGUGACAAGACAGCAUCAAAAACACCAGGAGCUCAGCGUCCCCUCUGCCAGGGGCACAUCAUCCUAAUUCACUUACAAGUUCAUCUUCACAAACAGGGGAGAAACACAGAGAACAGGCAGUGGCCUCUCCUGCCUGCCCGGGCAAAGGCAAGCACUACUCCUGGAGAACUCCUAAAAGAACACAGAGCAGGCACACAAACAUUCUAUAAACAGUAAACAAAACAGCAACAGCAGCAAUGGACUCAAUUUGGAACGUUGAGGAGUUUAUAUAAUUUCCAGACUGAAAUUGAUUCUAAACGUCACUAUUUUACAUCCUAGUAGUGCAUAGAUCAAACACUCACCUACCAAAACAAAGAAUUAAACUUUGCUCCCCAAUCUUAUGGGUCGAUGGGUGAACGAAUUUGAUCAUAUUUACAGUGUGGGAGCCUGGGUGAGAAGAUAACUCCAGAAGGUCUUGCUGACCAUGGACUACAGGAAGUGAGCUCCAAGGAGAUCAGGCCACAAAAACAACACACACACACUGACACACAGACAAGUGAAAAGAAUCAGUAUACAAGCUCGUGUGCGGAGGGAAAAGGAGAAAAUAACUGUAAUCAAGUGAAAGAAAAAGAGAAGGGGGCGGGGAGCAAGUUAAAGGAACACAAUCCCUGGGCUACAGGAGAUGGGACUAUAGCAACAAAGUUUCUGUUCACUAAAGAGAGUCCUCAUCAUAAUUGGAAGGCUGAAUACCAACAACCCCAAAACAAAAACCACACAAAGGACACCAAGGGUCACCAGAGCAGAUCCCAG